UACGUAGGGUGCGAGCGUUGUCCGGAAUUAUUGGGCGUAAAGGGCUCGUAGGCGGUUUGUCGCGUCGGGAGUGAAAACCUACAGCUUAACUGUGGGCUUGCUUUCGAUACGGGCAGACUAGAGGUAUGCAGGGGAGAACGGAAUUCCUGGUGUAGCGGUGAAAUGCGCAGAUAUCAGGAGGAACACCGGUGGCGAAGGCGGUUCUCUGGGCAUGAUCUGACGCUGAGGAGCGAAAGUGUGGGGAGCGAACAGG
This 253-nucleotide ribosomal RNA is filed under the name uncultured bacterium. Its description in RNAcentral is "partial 16S ribosomal RNA". It matches the Rfam family "Bacterial small subunit ribosomal RNA", at positions 524 to 776 of the family's 1533-position model. RNAcentral also lists the same sequence under 1 other name. The record is from RNAcentral.